Scylla paramamosain (green mud crab) is the source of this 2633-nucleotide RNA transcript. It is a transcript of the gene named ribosomal protein S6 kinase alpha-5-like, with no coding region annotated. The transcript is spliced from 8 exons. NCBI's taxonomy places the organism in Eukaryota, Metazoa, Arthropoda, Malacostraca, Decapoda, Portunidae. The record is from RefSeq and is a predicted model, not a curated record.
CAAGGCACUAGGUUAAAAGGGUGCCAUAAACUGGUGCUUUAUUUAACGUAUUUUCGCAGAACAAGACAGUGACAGGGGCCGUGGUGGGUGCCUGCGUGUGCUGGUGCAAGCUUGGUGCCUGCCGGGAGGUGCCUGCAGUGCCACAAGGGAUAAUAUUGAUACAAAUGUAGAGGGACGAAAUAGAGAAGCAGGAAGACCACCACCACCACCACCACCAGCAGUGUGGAAGAAAGCUGGUGAUAAAACUCUCUCUCGCUCUCCCUCACUCUCCCACGCCACGGAAGCAGUGGAAUAAAGCACAGGAGGAGGAAGUGAGAGGAUAAUGAAGUUUGGAAGUUUGUGAUACAGCAAUGGCAACCCUCCGAUCCGGCAAGCAAGUUGGCGGCAGCGAUGGCGGUGGCGGCGGCAGUGGUGGUGAGGUGGACAGCAGGGACAGAGGGGCACUACAGGCUGCGGACAUCAAGGAGAAGAGGAACGCACGGACAAGCAAGGUGGUAUUCGGCAGUCUGAUCCUGGACCUGCUCGGCUUCACGGUGGUGCUGGCUCUGUUUCCUGCUCUCCUCGACUAUUAUUCCAAGCACGACUCCAGCGGCUUGUAUUCCUCUCUGCUCUCCUGUGUCACGUAUUACCAGCACAUCAUCGGCGUCCCUGCGAGGUUCCACUCUGUCUUGUUUGGUGAAAUUGAAUUGGGAUGACCUUGCUCAAAAGAAAGUACCUGCUCCCUUUGUACCAAGAAUCAGUACUGAGUUAGAUGUUAGUAAUUUUUCUGAAGAGUUCACUGCAAUGAUACCACAGGAUUCUCCAGCAAUCGUUCCUCCAGAUGUUGAGAAAAUGUUCAAUGGCUACUCCUACGUUGCUCCAUCAAUUCUCUUCACUGACAGUGUCAUCAGCGACAGCAGCAGCCUUUUCAAGAUGUCACCAGACAGAAGACCUUCCACAACCAACCUAUUAUUGGCUUGUAGCUUUAAGAUUGGAAAUGUUUCCUGAGGUUAGUCUUAAAACUGUUUAGAUUUUGAGACAGGGUGAUGGUGGAUGGGAGUUGGUUCCACAACUUAGGACCCAACACAGUGAGGUCCCUGGCACCGCUGUCUGUUCUGGUCCGGGGAACAUGCAAGUUGUUUCUUUGUCUAGUUUUACUGUUUGUCACAUCAUUUACAGUAUUAAAAGAUAAAAAGGAUAGAAAGCCAUCAGGAUAACAUCUUCGCAAAUGUCAAACAUAUGUUUCUCCUUAACCCUGACCCAUUUAAGUUCUUUAAGGAAAGGUGAUGCACGGUCAUAUUUCCUGCCACCUCCCACUGCUACUUUAGCUGCAAAGUUUUGAAGUUUUUGGGCCUUACACAGAAGAGUUUCGUUUGUUGAUCCCCACACUUGAAUGCAGUAAUAUAUUGUGCUUAAUGCAAGUGAUUGAGUAACAAGAAUUCGUGUGGGUUUAUCAAAACAUUUACUAAUUCGAUUUAUAUACAUUAAUAUGCCUGUCACCUUCUUCUGUAACUCAUUUAAAUGAACAUCAAACAACAUAUAUUUAUCAAAAUACACUCCUAAAUUCUUAACAUGAUAACUUGAAAGUAUGUUCUCUCCAUCAAAAUGUAUGGUAGUGUCAGGAGGAAUCUUAGCUAGGAGUUGGCGAUUGCCUAGGAAAAUACAUUGCGUUUUACUUGGAUUUAAAAGUAGGCCAUUACUCAGAAAAUAGCGUUUACAUUGUCUUAGAGUUGUUUCAGCAUCAUUAAUGAGUUGAUGGAUGUUGUUAAAUGUGCCUUCGUGUAAUAUUUGAGUAUCAUCCGCGUAUUGCACUAUGAAACCAUUAACGUGCUCUGACAGAUCAUUUACAUAAAUGCCGAACAAUAGCGGGCCAAGAAUUGAGCCUUGUGGGACUCCAUAGUUCACUUUCUGGUCUUUAGAUAUUGCCCCAUUCAAGCGGACAGACAUGGUUCUGUUGGUCAAAUAAUUAUCUAGACCUUUCCUUGUUGCUUGUUCAACUGCAUGAUGUCUUUAACACACACUUCUCUACCCCAUCCAAGUACUACCAUCCAAGUAGCUUUCCUCACCUAUCACUACUUUCAACUUCACUCACUCUUUCUUUUGGAGAUGUCAUUGAUAUUAAAUCGUUUUGACACAAAAUGAUUUAAGUAACAAUUAGUUUAAGAUCAUAUUAUUUUCUUUUCCUUGCAUUUAAUCAUUGUAUGCCUGUAUCUAAUUCAUGUUGGUUUCACAGGCACACACCUACAUUGUGAUGGAGCUCCUUGGAGGUGGAGAGCUGGCUGCUUCAGAGGAUCAGGAAACACGAGAGGUUCACAGAGGCUCGCCUCGGGCUUCGGUCGUCGUGAGGAACCUGGUGUCAGCAGUUCACUACGUGCACAGGAAAGGCAUCAGUGUUCACGGAGACCUAAAGCCAGACAGGGGUGAAGAGUUAGGAGAGGGAGAAGAAAUAUGUUGGGAAUUAAUGGAAUGGGAGGGAAUAAAAAUAGAAAAGUGGUUGGUGUUGAGGAUAGACAGAAAAGAAAAGAAAGGAAAGGUGAAAAAAAGGAAGUUUUUUUGCAUUGAUUUUCCAUCUGCUUAUUUUAAAGAAUUUAUUGCAUGGAAUAUUAUUGAUCUCCAUCAUUUGUAUGGCCUUUAUAAUAAAAAGUAUGAAUUUA